RNAcentral lists this transfer RNA (70 nucleotides) under Candidatus Kaiserbacteria bacterium. RNAcentral describes it as "tRNA-Ser". It matches the Rfam family "tRNA". Rfam says of the family: Transfer RNA (tRNA) molecules are approximately 80 nucleotides in length. Their secondary structure includes four short double-helical elements and three loops (D, anti-codon, and T loops). The record is from RNAcentral. Lineage: Bacteria; Candidatus Kaiseribacteriota.
GGAGGGGUCGCAUAGAGGCCUAGUGCGGCGGGUUGCUAANNCGAGGGUUCGAAUCCCUCCCCCUCCGCCA